AUUGAACGCUGGCGGCAUGCCUUACACAUGCGAGUCGAACGGCAGCACGGGAGCAAUCCUGGUGGCGAGUGGCGAACGGGUGAGUAAUAUAUCGGAACGUGCCCAGUCGUGGGGGAUAACGUAGCGAAAGCUACGCUAAUACCGCAUACGAUCUAUGGAUGAAAGCGGGGGAUCGCAAGACCUCGCGCGAUUGGAGCGGCCGAUAACAGAUUAGGUAGUUGGUGAGGUAAAAGCUCACCAAGCCGACGAUCUGUAGCUGGUCUGAGAGGACGACCAGCCAAACUGGAACUGAGACACGGUCCAGACUCCUACGGGAGGCAGCAGUGGGGAAUUUUGGACAAUGGGCGCAAGCCUGAUCCAGCAAUGCCGCGUGCAGGAUGAAGGCCUUCGGGUUGUAAACUGCUUUUGUACGGAACGAAACGGUGAGCUCUAAUACAGUUUGCUAAUGACGGUACCGUAAGAAUAAGCACCGGCUAACUACGUGCCAGCCGCCGCAGUAA
Molecule: ribosomal RNA, 500 nt
Filed under: uncultured bacterium
Lineage: Bacteria
Description: partial 16S ribosomal RNA
Rfam family: Bacterial small subunit ribosomal RNA
Source: RNAcentral